GACGAACCGUGCGAACGUUGUUCGGAAUCACUGGGCAUAAAGGGCGCGUAGGCGGCUUAUCAAGUCAGGGGUGAAAUCCGGCAGCUCAACUGUCGAAGUGCCUUUGAUACUGACGAGCUCGAGGGAGAUAGGGGUGUGUGGAACUUCCGGUGGAGCGGUGAAAUGCGUUGAUAUCGGAAGGAACGCCGGUGGCGAAAGCGACACACUGGAUCUCUUCUGACGCUGAGGCGCGAAAGCCAGGGGAGCAAACGGG
This 253-nucleotide ribosomal RNA is filed under the name uncultured bacterium. RNAcentral's name for it is "partial 16S ribosomal RNA". It matches the Rfam family "Bacterial small subunit ribosomal RNA", at positions 524 to 776 of the family's 1533-position model. The record is from RNAcentral.